This 253-nucleotide ribosomal RNA is filed under the name uncultured bacterium. RNAcentral's name for it is "partial 16S ribosomal RNA". It matches the Rfam family "Bacterial small subunit ribosomal RNA", at positions 524 to 776 of the family's 1533-position model. The record is from RNAcentral.
UACGUAGGGGGCAAGCGUUGUCCGGAAUCAUUGGGCGUAAAGAGCGUGUAGGCGGCCAGAAAAGUCCGCUGUGAAAACUCGAGGCUCAACUUCGAGCUGUCGGUGGAAACUUUCUGGCUAGAGUCCGGAAGAGGAGAAUGGAAUUCCUGGUGUAGCGGUGAAAUGCGCAGAUAUCAGGAGGAACACCUAUGGCGAAGGCAGCUCGCUGGGACGUUACUGACGCUGAGACGCGAAAGCGUGGGGAGCAAACAGG